Sinocyclocheilus anshuiensis is the source of this 472-nucleotide long non-coding RNA. RefSeq lists it as uncharacterized. The record is from RefSeq and is a predicted model, not a curated record. NCBI's taxonomy places the organism in Eukaryota, Metazoa, Chordata, Actinopteri, Cypriniformes, Cyprinidae. The transcript is spliced from 2 exons.
UCUUACAAUGCACAUGUAUCACUUGUACUGUGAGAUUCAGAUCAACUCAAAAGCUCUAUUCGGACAGUAAAUGUUUCUCCUGACACCUUGAGAUUGAAAUAACAUGAUAAUAGAUGAUGAACUCAUGAAGCAGUGGAAGUUCAUUCAUUAUUUCUGUGAUGUGAAGCUCAAGUAUGAUGUGUUGAUGUGAUGAUGAUUUGUUUAUAUGUUGCAAUAUAUUUGACCUGAACUAACAGACAUGAUCACAGAUCCAGCAGAAACUGAAUCAGUAGGACUGAUGGAUCAGUAUUCAGAGUUUCACAGAUUGAUCUUUGUCUGUUAUCUGUCCACGCAUCUGUCCUGCAGUGAUUGUGAUUAUUGUUGAGUUUGCAGUGUUUGCUGCUCCUGCUGUGAUUCUUCUUCAGAUCAUCUGUGUAAGAAGAGCUGGUGAGUUUUUCAGCUUCACACAAUUCAAAUUCUGGCCAGAGGAGAA